CACCUUACUCAGUAGCACGUGGCUAACCUGCCCUUGGGACCGGAACAACCCCGGGAAACUGGGGCUAAUUCUCGAUAGGUGAAGAUUCCUGGAAUGGAUUUUUGCCGAAAAGACGUUUAGGGCAUGCUUCUAGGCGUUGCCCAAGGAUGGGGCCGCGGCCGAUCAGGUUGUUGGUGAGGUAAUGGCUCACCAAGCCUUUAACCGGUUCGGGCCGUGGGAGCGGUAGCCCGGAGAUGGGCACUGAGACAAGGGCCCAGGCCCUACUUUUCACAUCAGUCGCGAAAACUUCGCAAUAAGCGAAAGCUUGACGGGGCCAUCCCGAGUGCCAUCUGCUGAGGAUGGCUUUUACCCACUAUAGAGAGCUGGGGGAAUAAUGAGAGGUGAAAUAUGGUGUCACCCUCAAGCGUAAUAC
RNAcentral lists this ribosomal RNA (412 nucleotides) under uncultured archaeon. Its description in RNAcentral is "bacterial SSU rRNA". It matches the Rfam family "Archaeal small subunit ribosomal RNA", at positions 82 to 476 of the family's 1478-position model. The record is from RNAcentral.